AAAAGGACUCCCUCUCUGCACAUCUCAAGAAAAAAAGAGAGAAAAAUCCUUUCCUCUCUCUUCAAACGGAUAGAAAAAACAAAAGAACAAAAAAGAGGAACUCUCUCAAUGGUACACUCACAAAACCACUCACCAAAAUCCAUAUCCCUCUCACUCCUUACAACCAGUGUCGCGUGUCCCGUUCCUCUAUAUUUAACAAAUAAUC
This 205-nucleotide long non-coding RNA is filed under the name Lathyrus oleraceus (garden pea). RNAcentral describes it as "Pisum sativum (pea) long non-coding RNA (PSAT_LNC020290)". The record is from RNAcentral. Lineage: Eukaryota; Viridiplantae; Streptophyta; Magnoliopsida; Fabales; Fabaceae.